UACUAGUGAUGAGGGCAUUGAACCAAUAGCAACUUAAAUCUUUCCCAUGCUUCAUGAAUUGGUUCCCCCUCUAUCUGAGAAAAUGAACAGAUCUCAUUCCUCAAGUC
This is a small nucleolar RNA of Coffea eugenioides, 107 nucleotides long. NCBI's taxonomy places the organism in Eukaryota, Viridiplantae, Streptophyta, Magnoliopsida, Gentianales, Rubiaceae. The record is from RefSeq and is a predicted model, not a curated record.